CUUAUGUUCAAAGUUGGUUUAUUUGAUUUUUUUUCAGCAAAGGCAAAUACAGAAAACAGGUCAGUCAAUUCAUCAGUAAGCAUAUAACUUUAGUUAAAGAAUAAUUAAGGAACUUACAUGAUAUACACAGAAUACCUCUAAAAAUAUAAAAUGCAAUUUUUUCGUUGUCUGAAGUAAAAUGCAACUGUUGUGAUCAAAAAUACUUCUGUAAAUUUAUCUCAAAAGUUGUUUUGAUCAAUUUUUUUAAGCCUAACUUGCAGUGAAGCAUUUCUAGUAUUCCAAACAAGCAAAAAAACCCCACAAUCCCCAACCUCCCUCCCCCCCCCCGAUGAAAAGCUGGUGUUUGUCUGGAUCAAAUUUGUUAGUUUAGGGUUUUUUUAAUUAGAAAACAUGAAAUAUACAAAUAAAUAAAUCAUAUUACAUCUACAAUAGCAACAGCAAACAUCACCUCUCACAUCCUCAGUAAUGCACGCAGACAUAUACAUACACACAACUUUUUGCCAGGCUCUAGAGAGGCUGCUGCUCUGGAACCAACAAAACAUUGGUUCUGAACGUUCAGUCGUAAGUCUUGCACCUGCUAAACCUCUGUUGAUUUUUUUAGAUUGACAGUUUGUACCCUCAGUAAACAUAUGACAUAAAAAGCACAAUCCAAAACACUGUGCACUUAGUAAGAGAGAAUAUUUCAGAUGCACAAACAGAUGUUAAUCAAACCCAAAAGACAAGAGGAUACUCUAGUGAUCCCAAUAUGACAACAAAUAUUGAGAGAGAAGGAAGACUGAGAAACCCUUAAACUCAUCAUCAGAACAAAAUCAUCAGAGGACCCCUGCAGGCUUCCCAUCUGUCUGUUCUGUCAGUAAAAUGGGCCACAGAGUCGUACACCCAGAGGUAGGCAUGUUUUUAGCAACUUUUGCUCGUGAAGGGGGCAUAGAGCCCUGCCAAGGCACUGGGAGGCUGUCAUGGUUUAACACCAGCCAGCAACUAAGCACCACACAGCCACUGCUCACUCCCCUGUGGGAUGAGGGAGAAAGUCAGAAGAGUAGCCUUAUACUAGAUCCUACAAAGAAAAUUAACUCUAUCC
Molecule: long non-coding RNA, 1078 nt
Filed under: Strigops habroptila (Kakapo)
Lineage: Eukaryota; Metazoa; Chordata; Aves; Psittaciformes; Psittacidae
Description: lncRNA (ENSSHBG00005013013.1)
Source: RNAcentral